This 450-nucleotide ribosomal RNA is filed under the name uncultured bacterium. RNAcentral describes it as "bacterial SSU rRNA". It matches the Rfam family "Bacterial small subunit ribosomal RNA", at positions 37 to 474 of the family's 1533-position model. The record is from RNAcentral.
GGCCGCGGGAAUUGGAUUCAGGCCUAACACAUGCAAGUCGAACGAUGAAACUCUAGCUUGAUAGAGAUGAUUAGUGGCGGACGGGUGAGUAACAUUUAGGAAUCUGCCUAGUAGUGGGGGAUAGCUCACGGGAAACUAGAAUUAAUACCGCAUAUGACAUACGGGUGAAAGGGGGCGCAAGCUCUUGCUAUUAGAUGAGCUUAAAUCAGAUUAGAUAGUUGGUGGGGUAAAGGCCUACCAAGGCGACGAUCUGUAACUGGUCUGAGAGGAUGAUCAGUCACACCGGAAGUGAGACACGGUCCGGACUCCUACGGGAGGCAGCAGUGGGGAAUAUUGGACAAUGGGGGCAACCCUGAUCCAGCCAUGCCGCGUGUGUGAAGAAGGCCUUUUGGUGUAAAGCAAAAGAAGCAGGGAGGAGAGGCUAAUGGUUAAUACCCAUUAGAUUAGACG